This 486-nucleotide ribosomal RNA is filed under the name uncultured bacterium. RNAcentral describes it as "partial 16S ribosomal RNA". It matches the Rfam family "Bacterial small subunit ribosomal RNA", at positions 30 to 507 of the family's 1533-position model. The record is from RNAcentral.
AUUGAACGCUGGCGGCAUGCCUAACACAUGCAAGUCGAACGGCAGCACGGGUGCUUGCACCUGGUGGCGCGUGGCGAACGGGUGAGUAAUCCAUCGGUACAUGUCCUGUUGUGGGGGAAAGUCCGGCGACAGCCGGAUUUAUACCGCAUACGAUCCACGGGAGAAAGCGGGGGCCCUUCGGGCCUCGCGCUCUAGUGUUGGCCGAUGGCUGAUUAGCUAGUUGGUGGGGUAAAGGCCUACCAAGGCGACGAUCAGUAGCUGGUCUGAGAGGACGACCAGCCACACUGGGACUGAGACACGGCCCAGACUCCUACGGGAGGCAGCAGUGGGGAAUUUUGGACAAUGGGCGAAAGCCUGAUCCAGCAAUGCCGCGUGUGUGAAGAAGGCCUUCGGGUUGUAAAGCACUUUUGGUCGGAAAGAAAUCCAUGACUCUAAUACAGUCGGGGGAUGACGGUACCGGAAGAAUAAGCACCGGCUAACUACGUG